UACAGAGGAUCCAAGCGUUAUCCGGAUUUAUUGGGUUUAAAGGGUGCGUAGGCGGAUUGAUAAGUUAGAGGUGAAAUGUCCGAGCUCAACUCGGGAACUGCCUCUAAUACUGUUGAUCUAGAGAGUAGAUGCGGUAGGCGGAAUGUAUGGUGUAGCGGUGAAAUGCUUAGAGAUCAUACAGAACACCGAUUGCGAAGGCAGCUUACCAAUCUAUAUCUGACGUUGAGGCACGAAAGCGUGGGGAGCAAACAGG
Molecule: ribosomal RNA, 253 nt
Filed under: uncultured bacterium
Lineage: Bacteria
Description: partial 16S ribosomal RNA
Rfam family: Bacterial small subunit ribosomal RNA
Source: RNAcentral